ACCCUUCUUGUCUUUUAAUAAAGCUUAUUUACUCUCUCUUUUGCAUACCUAUCUCUCUUCCAAAAUUCUGUCUAUUACUUUGCAAUUUUCAUCUUCCUUUUUCCUACCGUAUUUCUCUCAUACCUUUAACUGUGUUAAUUUCUAUGAACUUAACUCUAUCUACCUUCUUUAGGGGUGCUAUUCCCCUAAUCUAAUUUUAUAGGUGUGGACAAUCAGGGAUGCCAAAACGCAAUCGAAAGAUUGAGGAGAAGAAGAACACAAAAUUCAUUAGCGGAGAAGUCUGACUACGAUUAUCCAGAAAGGUCCUAUUAUCUCAGGGGUAAUGCAAUAUAGAUGGAAACAUUGAUCAUACAAGCUCAUCAAAGUGAGUUAGCAAAAAAUUUACUCUUUUUUCCUUCUAAUUACAACUUUUGUUAGUCAAUGUGGAAGAUUUUGUUUCCAAUGUUAACGUGAUGAUUUAAAUGUGGUUCUGUAAUACAAGUAGAAAACGUGAUGUGUUUAAUGUAAAUCGAUUCGUUAGUUCUAGAUUUCUCUACUAAAGGAUGCAGAUUAUUCUGUGUGCAUAUUAGUAGACAUUGAUAUUUUUUUUUAUCAAACAUCAUGUCUUCAUAUACUAACGAGGGCCUGGAUUAGUCAUAUGAAGGUUAGCUUGAUGAUUGUUCUAACGAUUCUAGGAUGCAUUUGAGCCCUAAGGAUGUGUAGCAAACAUAUAUGCAGACUCCUCUGAAGAUUGCCUACUUUGUUGUCUAUCCAUUUGCUUUUACUAAACCAUGCAGUGCUCAUCGAGUUAUGACUCUGAAAGAUGUUAAAAAAUUGAUAUGCACCCCGCAAUCAAAGUCAAGGCAAAAUAGUAGAUCAUUAAAAUUUGCACAUCCAAAUCAGCAUUCUCGGGCAAGCUUGGCAUUCGAUCGGAAGACCAAAGUACAGACUGAAGGAGGAAAGCAUUAAUAUUAUGAAGACCAAAGGUUAAUUCGUUUAUUGUUGCCUAUUCAUUUUUGGAGGCUAUGCUGCUCCAUUUCUUUUGUGUUUGUGACAGGUUACCAGAAGAGACGUAUCCAGAGCAUAACAGAGAUGGAAAUGAAGUCUACUCCAUUUGAAUAGAGAGCUGAUUGUUCCAUUUAGAUUUGGGGAUGUAAAGCGUUGUCCUACUUUUUACUCUAAAGGAUCGUUUACUUCUUCUUGGACUUGUGAUGUUGUGGUGAUGAAUCUUGCUAAUAUAAUAUUCAUAUAUUUUACUUUCA
This is a non-coding RNA of Nicotiana tabacum (common tobacco), 1241 nucleotides long. The record is from RefSeq and is a predicted model, not a curated record. NCBI's taxonomy places the organism in Eukaryota, Viridiplantae, Streptophyta, Magnoliopsida, Solanales, Solanaceae.